RNAcentral lists this long non-coding RNA (7141 nucleotides) under Solanum lycopersicum (tomato). RNAcentral describes it as "long non-coding RNA (SLYC_LNC000951)". Lineage: Eukaryota; Viridiplantae; Streptophyta; Magnoliopsida; Solanales; Solanaceae. The record is from RNAcentral.
ACUGCCUACCAACUAAAACUAUAUAUAAAUAUGAGUUUUACAUUAAUCAUUAGAUUCAAUGUUAAAAAGAAGAGAAAUGAACUGAACCAACCCCAUAAGAGCAUUUAAUAGUUUUAGUUAAUAAUUUCUGUUAGUAACAAGUUGUUAGUAACAGUUUCUGUUAUCCAAUACUUAGUUAAUUAGAAGUUCGUUAGCAAGGUUGUUAGUUAGUUUUAUAUAUAGGUUAAUAUUGUAAUCUUCUUCACUUAAUUCACAUUCAAUACAAUAUACAUUUUCCUCUCUCAAUUCAGUUACAACUCUAGUUGAAGGUCAUCAAUGGUGUCAAGUUCAUCAAUGGUGAUAAUCUUUUCAUGGUAUCAGAGCAUUGAUUGAUGUAUCGUAGUUGUUCCUGUUUCGAAGUCGAUUCAUGAGCUUCUUCUCUUUCUGUGUUGUUUUCAAUCGAUUCGUUUAACUGAUUGAGAGAUUGUGUUGUGAAUUCUCUGUUUCUGUCAUUUUUCUUCUUCUUCUUCUUCUUCUUCUUUCUUUCUGAUUGAGGAAACACAUUUCGUAGUUGGAGAUUAGCAAGUUUCUAGUUGUUUUCGUGUUAGUUUUUCUCACAAAUAUUCGAACACAAUAACUGGUACUCAAGUUGGAGGUGUUUCUUCUUCUAGUUCAACUACAUCUCGAUUGGAUUUUACCAGUCCUUUUUACCUGCAUCCCUCAGAAAAUGCAGGAUCAUCCUUCUUACCUGGAGUUUUCUAUGGUAUUGGCUAUAGAUCUUGGCGAAGAGCAGUUCUCAGAGCAUUGUCAGUUAAAAGCAAAACAGGUUUUAUUAAUGGAGCAAUUGUGAAGCCUGUUUCUAUUGAUCCUAAUUUCAUGCAAUGGGAAAGAUGUGAUGAUAUGGUAACAUCUUGGAUCUUAAAUUCUUUGUCUCCAGAAUUGCGUGAUAGCCUGCAAUAUGUGAAUAAUGCCAAGGAGUUAUGGGCAGAAUUAGAGAAAAGAUACAAUCAAACCAAUGGGUGUAAAUUGUAUAAAUUACAGAAGGAGAUAAAUGAACUUAUUCAAGGUAUUUUAGACAUCACUAAGUAUUACACAACAAUGAAAAAGCUGUGCAAGGAGAUGAGCACAAUUGAUACCAAUUCUCAGUGCACAUGUGUGUGCUCUUGUGGGGGUAAAACAAAGUUACAGAAAGCUGAACAAGAUAGAAGAUUGAUACAUUUUUUAAUGGGGUUAAAUGAAAUGUAUACGACUGUUAGAGGUAGCAUUCUUAUGAUGAACACUCAUCCUAGAAUGGCUCAAGCUUUUCCAUUCUAUGCCAAGAAGAAAAGCAGAGAGAAGUGAAGCCUCAUAAUCAUACAGCCUUGGAUUCUACUUCUCUCAAUGCUUAUGGACAUUACAAUAAUAAUGCAGGUUACAAGGGAUUCAGAACAAAUUAUAGUUCAUCUAAAGGAGCUGAAACUAGUUCUGGUAAUACAAGCAAUAAUAAUGUGUCUAGAGGGAAUUCAAGUACCAACAGGUCUUUUUUAGUCUGUGACUAUUGCAAGAAAUCAGGACACACGGGAGAUAGAUGUUAUAAACUUCAUGGAUAUCCAUCCAAUCAAAAGUUUCAAAAGGGAAAAGGAACAAGUUCUGCAGCAAAUAUGUGUGCUUCUGAUAUGAAUACACAACAAUCUGGGAAAAGUCUGAAAUGGGAAAGCAGAUUCCACUAAACCUGUCCAAAGAUCAGUAUGAACAACUGCUCAACAUCUUAGGAACUAUACAAGCUGGAAAUAAAGGUUUUAAUUCUGAUAAUUCAAAUAGCAUGUUGAAUGGGGCUGUGAACUUGGCAGGUAUACUUGCUUGUUAUUCCUCUAUAAAUGAUAUAGGUGAUCUUUCUUGUAAAUGUGUUAAGCUGACUGCUGGCUCUUGGAUAAUAGAUUCAGGAGUAUCACAUCAUAUGACCUAUGAUAAAACCACUCUCACAAACAUUAAAACACUCCCAUAUCCUUUCUUAAUAUCACUCCCAAAUGGUUACAAGGUUAAAGUGACUCAAGUUGGUGAUGCUUGUUUAAAUCCAGUUUUAACUCUAAGCAAAGUGUUAUUUGUGCCUACAUUCAAGUUUAAUCUCAUUUUUGUUCAUUGUUUGGCAUUACAACUUAAUGGAGUAAUCAGUUUUGAUAAAUUUUCUUGUUUGUUGAAGGGCAUUCUAUGAAGAGCUCUCUGGAACUUGGUAAAGCCAAGAAUGGUCUAUAUUUCUUAUGUCAAAAAUGUCACAAUUGCUGCAAGUCUGCUGAGGAAAAGUCACCUCAUUCUAAUUGUCAUCUUGUCUCAAAAUUUCACACUGUAUCUUCUGUAAGACAAUCUCCAAUUUCUACUACAAAUAAAGCAGAUUGUACGACUAUUCCUUCUUCUUAUUCUAAUGAUAAAUGUCUUUCAUUUGCUGAUGUCUCUAGUCACACUUAUAAUGAUGAACUUCUCUGGCAUGCUAGAUUAGGUCAUGUACCCUUUGUAAAGAUGAGGAAUAUAUCAACCAUACCUGUAAAGUUUUCUCCUAAACAACCUUUUGCAUGCAAUAUAUGCCCUAUGGCUAGGCAAACUAGGAUGCCUUUUCCAGAAAGCACAUCUACCACUACCACAAUUUUUGAAUUACUACAUGUUGAUUUAUGGGGGCGAUAUCACAUUCCUACUCAUGAUGGUUACCAUUAUUUUCUUAUUAUGGUGGAUGACUACAGUAGGUCCACUUGGACACAAUUACUAAGGUGCAAAAGUAAUGCUCUUUAAACCAUCAAAGCCUUUGUAUCUCUCAUAGAAAACCAAUUUCAAACUAAGUUGAAAGCCAUAAGAUCAGACAAUGGUUUAGAAUUUACCUCAUCUGAAGCUGUAUAUUUCUUUCAAACCAAAGGCAUUAUACACCAAAGGACCUGUCCAUAUACACCUCAACAAAAUGGAGUGGUAGAGAGGAAACAUAAAUACUUACUUGAAACAGCAAGAGCACUCUUAUUUCAAUCAAAAUUACCCAUGAGAUACUGGGUAGAGUGUGUAUUAACUGCCACAUAUAUGAUAAAUAGAUUGCCUACUAAACUUCUUCAAAACAAAUCUCCAUAUGAGAUAUUAUACCAUAAACAACCUACAUAUUCUCAUCUUAAGAGUUUUGGUUGUCUUUGUUUUCCAACUGUUUUAAAAACUCACAAUGAUAAACUUGAACCAAGAACCCCCCCCCUCCCCAUGUUUUUGUUGGCUAUCCAUUUAAUACAAAAGGCUACAAAGUCUUGAAUCUAGCUACAAAAAAAGUUCACAUAUCUAGAGAUGUUAUUUUCCAUGAGAAUAUUUUUCCUUUUGUUCUUGCUCCUGAUGACUCUAGUUUCAGUUCUAUUUUACAAAUGCUCACUCAUUCUGUUAACAUGCCUUGUAUGCCUGGAAAAAUAAACAUUUUUGCUUCUGAUGAAAUGCUGGACAAUCUUACACCACAUGAAGUCACUGACAAUCAAGUAACCAAUAUUACAAACAUACAUGAAACAACAUCUGUUGAUAUACAUGAUUCUACACCACAAGAACCACAAGAACCAACAAGAACUUCCAGAACAAUAAAUACUCCUAGUUAUCUAAAGGAUUAUACAUAAACCCUACCUAAGUUACAUUCCCUCAAUGAUUUUGUGUCUCACAGUAACCAUGUAUGUUUCAAUAGUCUUUGUUCUGAUAGCCAGCAGCUAGUUACAACCAUUUCACAUGAAUGUGAACCUAAUUCUUUUGAAGAGGCAAUACUGCACCGUGCUUGGCAGUAAGCCAUCACACAUGAGUUUGAAGCUUUGUAUGCUAAUGAUACUUGGGAAAUGGGCAUGUUACCUGAUGGAAAAAAGGCUAUUGGUUGUAAAUGGGUAUACAAAAUAAAGCAUAAGGCUGAUGGAAGUAUAGAGAGAUUCAAGGCUAGGCUGGUAGUAAAAUGUUAUGCACAACAAGCUGGAGUAGAUUACACUGAAACAUUUUCACCUGUGGUGAAAAUGACUACUUUUAGAACAUUGAUUUCGUUAGCUGUUAAGAAAGGUUGGAACUUGUAUCAACUAGAUGUGAAUAAUGCAUUUUUACAUGGUAAUUUACAUGAGGAAGUUUACAUGGUACCCCCACAAGGUCUUACAACAGGUUGUGAUAACAUAGUGUGCAAAUUAAAGAAAUCCUUGUAUGGGCUAAAGCAGGCAAGUAGGCAAUGGUAUGAGAAGCUAGCAAACAGUUUGUGUUCAAGAGGGUAUGAACAUUCAGAUAGUGACUAUUCUUUGUUUUACAAAAAGAAUGGGAGUUCUUUGGUAUUUGUUGCUAUAUACGUGGAUGAUAUAAUCAUGACUGGUAACAAUUUUGAUGAAAUCAAUUCUUUAAAGUGUUUCCUGCAUAACCAAUUCAGAAUAAAAGACUUGGGUAAACUACACUAUUUCUUAGGCCUAGAAAUAUUAUACAGACAUGAUGGUGUUCUUAUCUCUCAGAGAAAAUUCACUUCUGAUCUUCUGAAGGAUUUUGAUGUGUUGAGUUACAAAACUACUUCAUUGCCACUUGAUUGUACUGAAAAGUUAAAAGCCACAGAUGGUAAGCUCUUAACUGAUCCUACUCAAUAUAGGAUGUUUAUUGGCAAGCUCAAUUUUGUAACUAACACUAGAAUGGACAUAUCCUAUAGUGUCCAACAUUUGAGUAAGUUCAUGCAAUCACCCAGGGAACCACAUUUGAAAGCAGCCUACCAUGUACUCAGAUACUUGAAACAAGAUCCAACCAUGGGUAUUUUUAUUUCAAACAAGGCUGAUUUUACUGUGAGUGCCUACUGUGACUCUGAUUGGGCUGCUUGUUUUUAGAAUCACGGAGGUCUAUUAGUGGUUACCUAGUACUUAUGGGAGACAGUCCUAUCAUCUGGAAAUCUAAGAAGCAAGCAACAAUAUCAUUAUCAUCUGCUGAAGUUGAAUAUAGGGCAAUAAGACAAGUUGUGCGAGAGCUAGUGUGGCUUGAAAGGUUGCUAAGUGAAUUGGAUGUAAAAUGUUCCCUGCCUAUACAUGUUCAUUGUGACAGUCAAGCAGCAGUUCACAUUGCCAAGAAUCCAGUUUUUCAUGAACGAACAAAACAUAUUGAAAUUGAUUGCCAUUUUGUAAGAACUAAACUUCAUCAAGGUUUAAUCACAUUCCAUGAUAUAUCCACUGAUUCACAAUUGGCAGACAUCUUCACCGAAGUUUUAACUGGGGUUAAACACACUGCUCUAUUACACAAGUUAUCUGUAAUUACAUCACCUCCAACUUGAGGGGGGUGAUGAGAAUAUAAGAUCAGCAGUUAAUAGUUUAGUUAAUUAUUUGUGUUAGUAACAAGUUGUUAGUAACAGUUUCUGUUUUCCAAUAGUUAGUUAAUUAGAAGUUAGUUAGCAAGGUUGUUAGUUAGUUUUAUAUAUAGGUUCAUAUUGUAAUCUUCUUCACUUAAUUCACAUUCAAUACAAUAUACAUUUUCCUCUCUCAAUUCAGUUACAACUCUAGUUGAAGGUCAUCAAUGGUGUCAAGUUCAUCAAUGGUGAUAAUCUUUUCAACCUACAACUAUAUAUAAAUAUGAGUUUUACAUUAAUCAUUAGAUUCAAUGUUAGAAAGAAGACAAAUGAACUGAACCAACCCCAUAAGAACAAAACCAAUAAUUUUCAUUUUAUUUAAUUCAAUUUGAUUUUAAAAAUUUAAAAAUCGAUAAAAUCAACUUGAUUUUAAUUUAAUUAAAUAUCGCUCCAAACGAAACAAUGAGCACUCCUACACAUUGGUUUCGCCAAAUGCCAUACUAGGAAAAUAAAUAAACUUAUUGUGAAAAGAGAUGCAUUUUACCUCUUCUAGAGACUACUGAUAAAUUUUUUUUUAUCUAUUUUUAUUUCUUAUGUUUCAUUUUUCAAAAGUUAAUUUGACUAAUUUUUAAAGUGGAAUUAUAUUAUAUUAAUUCCAUAUUUUGAACAAAAGAUUUAGAUAUUCAAAAACUAUAUGAAAAUUAUAUAAAUUAUAAUUUUUUUCAUAUCAAUAUUGAUGAAAAAAUAUAUAGUAAAAUAUUAGUUAAUUUUUUAUAAUUUAAUUCUAGAAAAAGAAACUACAAUAAUCAAGAAAAGUCAAUAUAUUUGGUUUGUUGGUUUUGCUUCACACGAGAAAUCAUUUUCUAAGAACAUCAAAUAGUUGUAUUUAUGUUAUUAAAAAAAAUUGCAAGCUUUGACUUUAAAUCCAAUAAUCAUGCCUCAAUCCGGAAUAAGCUAGGAUUUCAAAAAGUUAACCUAGAUGCAAUAUAAAAAUUUGCUUGCACUUUCACUUUUCUGUUCGAGCCCAAUACUUUUUAACAAGUAUUUCAAAUAAUGAAUCCUCUUUAUUUAUUAGUAUUUCAAAUACUCACCUCUUAAGAAGAUGCAAAACAAGGAAUUCAACUAACAAAUAAGGAAUUAAGGAUUAAAGUGACAAAUUGGCAAAAAUCAAAAGUAGAAGCAACUAUAAGAGUUACAGUAACAACGGAAAAGGAUUCACACACCUAUUGCUCAUAACGGCUAGGGGACAGUGGAGUCGAAAUGGAUCUCUUCGCAGUGGUAUCAGUUCUUCGAAGCUCAUUUUGUUUAGAGGGAAAAACUCGGGAGUAUUUAUCAGCUCUGCUGAUUCUAGAUGAAGAUUGUUGGGUCAUGGCUAAAAGUUCCUAGAUUUGACGUAUGAACCCAUUUUGAGUUGAAGAAGUCUUCGAGGAGGUCGAUUUUAUGGAACUUGUGAGAGGUUAGUGUAGAGGUGAAAUUCACUCAAGCUCAAUAAUCUUAGUUCAAUAACAAGUUGAUGAAUUUGGGGGCCAGUUCGGAGGAACAUCGAUGACAAAUCCGGAAGUAUAAUUAUUCUUGGACCUUUCUUUUAUAUUACUUCCCUUUUUAAGAUUUUUUUUUUAGUUUAUGGAUGCAGGUCACUUUUGGGCCUAUUCAGAUUCUGAUCGUUUAGUAAUAAAUGGGUUAUGUCUAAGUUUGAAUUAAAAAAAAGGGUUGUCCGCUAUAGUAGAGUCAAGAUUUUUUUUCUUGUGUGUUUGUUUCAAGACCUUCAAGAAGGUAUGGACCAACACCUUAUUAGCUUGGUGGUGAUGGAUUUGAAUAUAUUUCAAGCUUGAUAUAAUUUUUCUCAUUUUUUUUGCCUAAAACUUAAUGUGGCUUGUACACGUGACAUUCAGGUUUGGGAAC